This 253-nucleotide ribosomal RNA is filed under the name uncultured bacterium. RNAcentral's name for it is "partial 16S ribosomal RNA". It matches the Rfam family "Bacterial small subunit ribosomal RNA", at positions 524 to 776 of the family's 1533-position model. The record is from RNAcentral.
GACGUAGGGCGCGAGCGUUGUCCGGAUUUAUUGGGCGUAAAGAGCUCGUAGGCGGCUUGUCGCGUCGACUGUGAAAACCCGCAGCUCAACUGUGGGCUUGCAGCUGAUACGGGCAGGCUUGAGUUCGGUAGGGGAGACUGGAAUUCCUGGUGUAGCGGUGAAAUGCGCAGAUAUCAGGAGGAACACCGGUGGCGAAGGCGGGUCUCUGGACAGUUCCUGACGCUGAGGCACGAAGGCCAGGGGAGCAAACGGG